UGUAGUAUGCAACGUUAUUGAGCUGGUGGAAGGUGAUGAGCUUCUACGGGGCACGCGCUUGUUCCGGUAUCGUUAUCAGUCGGGAGAUGGGGGGGGGGUUAAGGGAAGGAUCCGCUGCUCUAUCCGCUCGUCUAUAUACAUAAAGUUAUUAAAAUUCGCGUGCGAUGAACAAGUCGGUUUAUGAAACAAUAGUGAAAAGAAACAGACAGAACAGAGACAAAACUCCUAGCUUCCAGACCUUUAUUUUGUGGCGCAAGAUGGAAAUGCGGCCACGAAUGCCCUCCCUUCCAUGAUCGCUAUAAUCCGAUAAAGUUAUACGGCGAUCCCAAAAAAAAGGUCUAUGCCGCAAUACCUCUGCCUACGUUCCCUACACGACGCAUGACCCCCUCAAGUUAAGCGCAGUUAGCAGGAGUUCAUAUUAACGCUUAUAGCUAAAUUUAUUCAACAUCGCAAAACACAUCCAAAAGUAUCGAUUUUACACUAGAUUUCGAAACAACUUAUGUCAAUUUACCCAAAUAAAAAAAAGGAAAAUAAUAUAAAGUAGGAAAGAAAAUUAUAAAAAUAUAUCAAAGAAAAAGUAAAUGUAUGUAUGAAUAUAAUAGGUGAAAUGUAACAUUAAAUUAAGAUACGAUUAUUGAAUAUGGAAUAUAAAUGAAUGGGACUAAAUAUAAUAAUGAAAAGCAUAUGUUCAAAAAAAAGAAAAGAAGGAAAACAAAAAAAAUAAUUUUUUUUUGUUGGCUAGUGUACUUUUCGUUUUAGUUUCUCCAUGUACGCAACUGCAUGGAAUGCAUGGCGUGCACAAAUUACAAUAGCAGCAAAAGCAACAAAGCUCUGGCGCUAGUGCAUAAACUUUUAUGCGCUGGUCGGUUCGUCUAGCGGGAAGAACGCACCAAAAGGGAACAAAAAAAAAAUUUGAUCUUUUAUCACUCACAGUUUGGUAUGCAUGUAUGUAUGCUUACAGUACUCCCUCGCUGAAAGGCCUUUCGCUGGGGUUUUGAAGAAGCUGUGGAAUAUAUUAAUUAUGGUUCCCUGUUGGCUUUGGCCGACUGCACGUUAUAGUUCAAUAUUUUUUUUUUUCUCUUACAAACUUCUUUUUCCUUUCUUUCUUCUUUCACUAAUGUCGCAUAAUUAAGGGGGAAUUAAAGGUCGUUAAAU
RNAcentral lists this long non-coding RNA (1155 nucleotides) under Drosophila guanche. Lineage: Eukaryota; Metazoa; Arthropoda; Insecta; Diptera; Drosophilidae. The record is from RNAcentral.